Long non-coding RNA from Triticum aestivum (bread wheat), 1966 nucleotides. RefSeq lists it as uncharacterized. The transcript has 4 exons. The record is from RefSeq and is a predicted model, not a curated record. Lineage: Eukaryota; Viridiplantae; Streptophyta; Magnoliopsida; Poales; Poaceae.
UUCUCUUCUCUCCCCUUCUUCUCGUCUCCUUCCUCCGGCCUGUAUUUGCUUACUGCACCACAGUAAUUAUUUCUUCAGAGAGGAGAAGAUGACAGGUCCUGGAAUCCAAAUUUCCUUCAUGAACAAAUGAAGCACAAUCCUUUGCAGUAGUUGAAGUUUCAGACUGAAUAAAUUACAUUGGAGCACCUGAAGUUUCAGACUGAAUAUAUUAUGUUGGCCACCUGCAUUUGGAAAACUUAUCCGAUGUAGCAUGUACAUUUAUUUUCCUAGAAGGCCAUUGCUCUUGUCGUUAUUAGCAGCUCACGUUCCAAAAGUGCCGGUGGAAUUUUUUGAAAUUAGUAGUGCAGUUUGCAUCUUUGUAACAGAACAUGUUAUACGAUCAAUAUUAACGAUAAAAAUUGGACUCUGUGUGUAGUGUAUGGGAAGUUUUAAGUGAUUAUGCGAAUAUGCUUUUCCUUCGUUUGUGCAUCAGAUUUCACAACCAAUAUUUAUUUAUUUUAGAGACUGGAAAAUGAAGAGAGAGAUUAUGGGGUGUGGUGGCCAUUAGUUGCUUCCGCUGUAUGUUGACCUACUUGCCUUUCCUUUCAUUAUACAUGCAGCCAAAAUUUAUGGGGGGUGUUAUAUAAGCUGGCAACUGAUUAUAUUGUAGACCAUCUGCUCGCAGCUGGUCUAGGAUUAUUGUUAUUGCUUCAGGGUUCAUAUGAAACAUAUUUCCCUUUUGACAAUUUGGACAUGUUAUUUCCUAAGUGCUAGCUCCAAAAUAGGACAUUGAAAUCUUAGUUUCACAUUGGAUGUUUGGAACAUAAAUUGAGUACCCUUAGUAAUAAACAGAAACCAUAUUCUCAAUAGACUAAUAUUUAUUGUUGAACGUGCCUUUUGCUUUUGAAAUGAUAAUUAUUACUUAGCAUGUGAUCUUGCUUAGUAAUAAACUAAACCAUAUUUUAGUGUUUCAUUUUCCUCAAUUACCAAGUUUAACAUCCACCUUUUUAUCUAAUACACUCCAUUAUACUCAAAUAUGUUCUUUACAACCCACAUGUGUCGCAUUUUUUCUGCUAACAGGAGAGUACCACAUUUGUGUAGACUUUAAUUUCUUACAUUCGUUACUUUCAGCCACUGAACAAACCAAGGUAUAGAAAGACAAACACGAAAAAGGCUACCUGUUGGCUGUCGGUGCUGAGCUGACGGACAGUGUGGAAGAAGAAGGUGUGAUCUUGGCAGCGGCCCAUGAAGCAUUUUUUUCUUUGCAUGUUGAUCACUACUGCACUGUUCAGGUUCUUAAUCAAGUGACUGAUUGACUGUGAUUGUGGGUCACAAGCAAGGGAAUGCUAACCGUGGUGGUGGUGGUGAUUGAAGAGCCCUUAAUCAAUUCGGCCAUGUAGAUUGGAGCAGCAACCUGGGAUAUUGCACCAUCUAGCUCCAUUUGUCUGAUUCAUCUUCUUUUCCUGGUCUAUCAACUGGAGGAAUCUACAGAUUCGUGAAUACGUUCCUAACCUCGCGCAAUCGAUAGUCGGUCUGAUCUUGUCCUCCAACGACCAAGAGUUCCGAGAUGAAUGUGUGGUGCCCCUCGCGAAACAUAGGGACAUGGCAGAAAGUAGCAAGUCCCCAAGUUGAUCUAAGAUGUUCCGGUGUUCACUUUUGUUCAUAACAUGGUAGAUACAUUUUGUUCAUAUAGAAGUUGAUGCCGGCUUGGUGAUUGAAGGAUUGGUCUCUUUCAUAAUACUCCCUCUGUACCGAAAUACUUGUAGUUGGGGCCCCCAAUUACAAGAAUUUCGUUACAGAGGGAGUAUUAGUAAUCAAGUGAUCGAACAAUUGGUCUCUUAGGAGCUUAGCCUUUAUAUUUUGCUGCAGUACAGGUCUUGUAUGUCGACUUAUGUAUUACCUUCAUGGUUGUAGCAAACUUGAGUGAAUAUAACAAAUGUUCAAUAUAUGUUGAAUAAAUGUACUAGUGAAUGGUGUCUUGUGAUGA